This 252-nucleotide ribosomal RNA is filed under the name uncultured bacterium. Its description in RNAcentral is "partial 16S ribosomal RNA". It matches the Rfam family "Bacterial small subunit ribosomal RNA", at positions 525 to 776 of the family's 1533-position model. The record is from RNAcentral.
ACAGAGGGUGCGAGCGUUAAUCGGAAUUACUGGGCGUAAAGGGUGCGUAGGUGGUUUAAUAAGUCAGAUGUGAAAUCCCCGGGCUCAACCUGGGAACUGCAUUUGAAACUAUUAAGCUAGAGUACGGUAGAGGGAAGUGGAAUUUCCGGUGUAGCGGUGAAAUGCGUAGAUAUCGGAAGGAACAUCAGUGGCGAAGGCGACUUCCUGGACCGCAACUGACACUGAGGCACGAAAGCGUGGGGAGCAAACAGG